This 377-nucleotide ribosomal RNA is filed under the name uncultured Chloroflexota bacterium. Its description in RNAcentral is "bacterial SSU rRNA". It matches the Rfam family "Bacterial small subunit ribosomal RNA", at positions 521 to 896 of the family's 1533-position model. Lineage: Bacteria; Bacillati; Chloroflexota. The record is from RNAcentral.
UAAAACGUAGGUGGCGAGCGUUAUCCGGAUUUAUUGGGCGUAAAGAGGGCGCAGGCGGCUUUUUAAGUCAAAUGUAAAAUCUCCCAGCUUAACUGGGAGGGACCAUUUGAUACUGUUAAGCUAGAGUGCAACAGGGGGAGGUAGAAUUCCCGGUGUAGUGGUGAAAUGCGUAGAUAUCGGGAGGAAUACCAGUGGCGAAGGCGGCCUCCUGGGUUGUUACUGACGCUUAAGCCCGAAGGCGUGGGGAGCAAACAGGAUUAGAUACCCUGGUAGUCCACGCUGUAAACGAUGAACACUGGGUAUGGGGAGUAUCAACCCUCUCCGUGCCGAAGCUAACGCGUUAAGUGUUCCGCCUGGGAACUACGGCCGCAAGGCUA